Molecule: ribosomal RNA, 443 nt
Filed under: uncultured bacterium
Lineage: Bacteria
Description: bacterial SSU rRNA
Rfam family: Bacterial small subunit ribosomal RNA
Source: RNAcentral
UAGGGAAUAUUGGACAAUGGGUGCAAGCCUGAUCCAGCCAUGCCGCGUGCAGGAAGAAGGCUUUCUGAGUUGUAAACUGCUUUUGCCAGGGGAUAAAAAGGUCGUGCGCGACAAAUUGAAGGUACCUGGUGAAUAAGCCACGGCUAACUACGUGCCAGCAGCCGCGGUAAUACGUAGGUGGCAAGCGUUGUCCGGAUUUAUUGGGUUUAAAGGGUGCGUAGGCGGUUCUUUAAGUCAGCGGUGAAAUACGUCAGCUUAACUGGCGAGGUGCCAUUGAUACUGGAGGACUUGAGUACUGAUGAGGUAGGCGGAAUGGACGGUGUAGCGGUGAAAUGCUUAGAUAUCGUCCAGAACACCGAUAGCGAAGGCAGCUUACUAAGGAGUAACUGACGCUGAGGCACGAAAGUGUGGGGAUCAAACAGGAUUAGAUACCCCCGUAGUCC